AGACCAAAACAUUAUCAAAGAAACARGAAACGACGGGAAGGGGACUCACCGACUCGGAAGCAAUUCCGAUUCAACUCAGCGAGCGCGAGGUGGCGGGUUAUCGGCGGCGAGGCGGCGAUCGGAACUCCCGAUCAGAUCCCACUGCGAAGAAAACUUUCCUUAAUUCUACGUUUUAGGUCGGAAAAUCUGGCGAUGGAGGAGGAAGAUUGUUCGAUCUCUAAAGCAGUGGCAGUAACGUCUUGCACGGCCAUGACUUUGUUCUACGUCGCCGUUCUCUAUGCCCCUACUUCGAUACUUCGUCUACCGCCUCCUCCAUCACUUCAAGUUUUCAUGAUUCGACGGUUCAUCUGCGCCUUCGUUUCCACUGUCGUCUCGGUCGUCGUCUGCGCUCUAAUCCUUCCUAUAAGGAAAAUGGAGUUUUCUCUUUUAUUAGGAGCUUAUGGCAUCCGAGCAGAUCAUAUUUGGCAAGUUGUGGUCUUUCCUCUUUCACUGACUUCUUUAAUGUACGCUGGGUCAAUGAUCUUAAAGUCUUUGUUAUUGGUGGAUUCAUGGAGAGAAUAUAUGAAUCAUGGAGAAGGCUCCCUUGUGGACUGUGCCAGCUUUUUUUGGAGAAAUUUUCUUGAUUGGGGGCUAUCAACUGUCUCAAAUGUUUUGGCUUGGCGUAAUUAUGUCGUGGCUCCACUAACCGAGGAGCUGGUGUUUAGAGCAUGCAUGAUACCGGUUCUUCUCUCUGGGGGGUUUAAGCCGACCACUGUGAUAUUUCUCUGCCCCAUUCUUUUCAGUCUGGCACAUUUAAACCACUUCAUGGAGUAUUAUAGCAAGCAGAACAACAACUUAGUCAGAGCAAUUACGGUUGUAGGUCUUCAGCUUGGCUAUACUGUGGUAUUUGGAUCAUAUGCAACUUUUCUCUUUGCGCGAUCUGGCCAUCUUCUUGCUCCAUUAGUUGCCCAUGUUUUCUGCAACUUUAUGGGAUUACCUGUGCUUUUUUCACGAAGAAGAGGGGUGGUGUGCCUGGCAUUUGUGGUUGGAAUGGUGGGGUUCCUUUGGCUUCUUUUUCCCAUGACAAGUCCUAAUUUGUUUAAUGAGAGGACAAAUAACUGCAGAUGUUGGCAUGGAUAUUGUACUUGGAACUAGACUGAAAAAUCUCCAGAGGAAGAAAUAAUCUUGUUGAAGAUUAGAGGGAAGUUGGGAAGAAGAGAGAGAAAGAAAGAGAGAGAGAGGGAGAGAAGAAGAAGAAGAAGGAGAAGAAGAUAUGUUCCUGCAUUUACAUCAUGCUGUAUUUGAGCAAUAUGCCAAGGCUGUUUAUUUGGUGUUAGGCAGCGAAGCGAAGGAUGUUGUUUUGGASCAAAGCAAGAAAAAAGGUUUGCGUACUGAACCAGUUUCCAUUCAGCUUCUGAAACCCUUCCACUCUUGUAGAUAUUGUAAUGAUGGCCCCAAAUCCGUAGGGUACCCUGCAAAUUGAGGAUCUACCCCCAACCCCCAUUAAAUUAUAUACAUCUUGUUUGAGUUGAACCCUCCACCUUAAAGUAGCAAAAAUUUCUGUUAUCCUGCCAAGAGUACUCAUCUCCCUUCCUUUUUGACUGAAAUUUCAUGGAAAUAGUGAAGGAUAGAAGAAAAUAYUUAUCAUGCUUAGAAAGAUGAGAUAUAUCAUCUUAUUACUUAGAUCUCCAUAGAAAGGCUUGGAAGUUAGGAAGAUUUUUUCUUUUMUUUUUUAUUUCUUUUUUUUUAAAUCAUGGAUUAUAAAUAGUAAUCGUAUAGAUGGGCCCCCUAAGGAGCAGACUCAAUUGGCAAUCUUGGUCAUGCUGGUUUAAAGGUCUAAGUUCAAAUCUUUUGGUGAGCUUAAUACUAAAAAUCUUUGAUGUCUCCUGGGUUCAGACCUUGGGACGGAUGCAGGUGCCCUUGGGUAUAGGAGAGCAAAACUCCGACUACAAUUAAUCAUAUAUAUUGAAACUCACCAUUUAUACAAUAUGCUAGUCUCCGCAGACCAGACCAAACCAAACCAAACAUAGUUAGACAAAUGUAUUCCUUUGUAUAAUCCAAACCCUUCUGGCAUUCUUGUUCCGUGAAAGAAUCGGAGUUAGGUUGAAUUUAUUUUACAGACACAGGAUUACAGAAAGGUUAGAGUUGUUUGAAUACUGAAAUGGGGUUAAGGCAGAGAUCUUGAGCAGGGUCAGAAAAUCAAGGAAACAUACAAGAGAGGGAGAAGGAAAAUCUGAGGAAAAUGAUGAGAAAGAUGGUAAAAAUGGACCAAUUUGCUUGUUUUCCAUGAAGAAAAAUUCAAAUGGGUCAUCAUUUCUUCUGCCUUUCUUCUCAAAACUAAUCCUCAAUGAGCCUACAGCCUCAGCCCUAGCCUGUGGAGUUCUGGAUUGGACAUCUUCAAUCUUCAAUCUUCUGCUUCUUCUUCUUCUUUAUUAUUUGUUUAAUUAAUGGUCAACCUGGCAAAUACAGGCUACGUCAUGUCCAUGGGUUUCAUAUUUUAUUGGCCCUUUUAACAUUUUUUUUAAUUGUUUUUAUUUUCAAAAUUUAA
Momordica charantia (bitter melon) is the source of this 2527-nucleotide RNA transcript. It is a transcript of the gene named farnesylated protein-converting enzyme 2, with no coding region annotated. Lineage: Eukaryota; Viridiplantae; Streptophyta; Magnoliopsida; Cucurbitales; Cucurbitaceae. The record is from RefSeq and is a predicted model, not a curated record.